ACUCAAAUGAAUAGACGGGGGCCCGCACAAGCGGUGGAGCAUGUGGUUCAAUUCGAAGCAACGCGCAGAACCUUACCAGCCCUUGACAUGUCUCGUAUGGUAGCCGGAGACGGCUUCCUUCAGUUCGGCUGGCGAGAACACAGGUGCUGCAUGGCUGUCGUCAGCUCGUGUCGUGAGAUGUUGGGUUAAGUCCCGCAACGAGCGCAACCCUCGCCCUUAGUUGCCAUCAUUCAGUUGGGCACUCUAGGGGGACUGCCGGUGAUAAGCCGAGAGGAAGGUGGGGAUGACGUCAAGUCCUCAUGGCCCUUACGGGCUGGGCUACACACGUGCUACAAUGGCGGUGACAGUGAGAUGCGGAGGGGUGACCCCAAGCGAAUCUCCAAAAGCCGUCUCAGUUCAGAUUGCACUCUGCAACUCGAGUGCAUGAAGGCGGAAUCGCUAGUAAUCGUAGAUCAGAACGCUACGGUGAAUACGUUCCCGGGCCUUGUACACACCGCCCGU
RNAcentral lists this ribosomal RNA (501 nucleotides) under uncultured bacterium. RNAcentral's name for it is "partial 16S ribosomal RNA". It matches the Rfam family "Bacterial small subunit ribosomal RNA", at positions 899 to 1397 of the family's 1533-position model. The record is from RNAcentral.